UAUAAUACUGCUUCCUUCUGU
Non-coding RNA from Caenorhabditis elegans, 21 nucleotides. The record is from Ensembl. Lineage: Eukaryota; Metazoa; Nematoda; Chromadorea; Rhabditida; Rhabditidae.